This 70-nucleotide transfer RNA is filed under the name Cricetulus griseus (Chinese hamster). It matches the Rfam family "tRNA". From Rfam's summary of the family: Transfer RNA (tRNA) molecules are approximately 80 nucleotides in length. Their secondary structure includes four short double-helical elements and three loops (D, anti-codon, and T loops). Lineage: Eukaryota; Metazoa; Chordata; Mammalia; Rodentia; Cricetidae. The record is from Rfam by way of RNAcentral.
UUGGAUAUAGCUCACUGGUAGAGCACUUGCCUAGCAAGCAAAAAAUCCAUAGGUUCUACCCUUAACCAUG